RNAcentral lists this ribosomal RNA (497 nucleotides) under uncultured bacterium. RNAcentral describes it as "partial 16S ribosomal RNA". It matches the Rfam family "Bacterial small subunit ribosomal RNA", at positions 28 to 507 of the family's 1533-position model. The record is from RNAcentral.
GACGAACGCUGGCGGCGUGCCUAAUACAUGCCAGUUGAGCGAUGAAGAUUGGUGCUUGCACCAAUUUGAAGAGCAGCGAACGGGUGAGUAACGCGUGGGGAAUCUGCCUUUGAGCGGGGGACAACAUUUGGAAACGAAUGCUAAUACCGCAUAACAACUUUAAACAUAAGUUUUAAGUUUGAAAGAUGCAAUUGCAUCACUCAAAGAUGAUCCCGCGUUGUAUUAGCUAGUUGGUGAGGUAAAGGCUCACCAGGGCGAUGAUACAUAGCCGACCUGAGAGGGUGAUCGGCCACAUUGGGACUGAGACACGGCCCAAACUCCUACGGGAGGCAGCAGUAGGGAAUCUUCGGCAAUGGACGAAAGUCUGACCGAGCAACGCCGCGGGAGUGAAGAAGGUUUUCGGAUCGUAAAACUCUGUUGGUAGAGAAGAACGUUGGUGAGAGUGGAAAGCUCAUCAAGUGACGGUAACUACACAGAAAGGGACGGCUAACUACGUG